This 396-nucleotide ribosomal RNA is filed under the name uncultured bacterium. RNAcentral's name for it is "partial 16S ribosomal RNA". It matches the Rfam family "Bacterial small subunit ribosomal RNA", at positions 523 to 918 of the family's 1533-position model. The record is from RNAcentral.
AUACGUAGGGGGCGAGCGUUGUCCGGAAUGAUUGGGCGUAAAGGGCGCGUAGGCGGCCCGGUAAGUCUGGAGUGAAAGUCCUGUUUUUAAGAUGGGAAUUGCUUUGGAUACUGCCGGGCUUGAGUGCAGGAGAGGUAAGUGGAAUUCCCAGUGUAGCGGUGAAAUGCGUAGAUAUUAGGAGGAACACCAGUGGCGAAGGCGGCCUGCUGGACGACAACUGACGCUGAGGCGCGAAAGCGUGGGGAGCAAACAGGAUUAGAUACCCUGGUAGUCCACGCUGUAAACGAUGAAUACUAGGUGUGGGGGGACUGACCCCCUCCGUGCCGCAGUUAACACAAUAAGUAUUCCACCUGGGGAGUACGAUCGCAAGAUUGAAACUCAAAUGAAUUGACGGGG